AACACGACUCUCGGCAAUGGAUAUCUCGGCUCUUGCAUCGAUGAAGAGCGCAGCGAAAUGCGAUACGUGGUGCGAAUUGCAGAAUCCCGCGAACCAUCGAGUCUUUGAACGCAAGUUGCGCCCGAGGCCAACCGGCUGAGGGCACGUCUGCCUGGGCGUCAAGC
RNAcentral lists this ribosomal RNA (164 nucleotides) under Oberonia segawae. RNAcentral's name for it is "5.8S ribosomal RNA". It matches the Rfam family "5.8S ribosomal RNA". From Rfam's summary of the family: 5.8S ribosomal RNA (5.8S rRNA) is a component of the large subunit of the eukaryotic ribosome. It is transcribed by RNA polymerase I as part of the 45S precursor that also contains 18S and 28S rRNA. Lineage: Eukaryota; Viridiplantae; Streptophyta; Magnoliopsida; Asparagales; Orchidaceae. The record is from RNAcentral.